This 76-nucleotide transfer RNA is filed under the name Euzebyales bacterium. RNAcentral describes it as "tRNA-Glu". It matches the Rfam family "tRNA". Rfam says of the family: Transfer RNA (tRNA) molecules are approximately 80 nucleotides in length. Their secondary structure includes four short double-helical elements and three loops (D, anti-codon, and T loops). RNAcentral also lists the same sequence under 2 other names. The record is from RNAcentral. Lineage: Bacteria; Bacillati; Actinomycetota; Nitriliruptoria; Euzebyales.
GGCCCGGUCGUCUAGGGGCCUAGGACGCCGCCCUCUCAAGGCGGUAACGGGGGUUCAAAUCCCCUCCGGGCUACCA